UAGGGAAUCUUCGGCAAUGGACGGAAGUCUGACCGAGCAACGCCGCGUGAGUGAAGAAGGUUUUCGGAUCGUAAAGCUCUGUUGUAAGAGAAGAACGAGUGUGAGAGUGGAAAGUUCACACUGUGACGGUAUCUUACCAGAAAGGGACGGCUAACUACGUGCCAGCAGCCGCGGUAAUACGUAGGUCCCGAGCGUUGUCCGGAUUUAUUGGGCGUAAAGCGAGCGCAGGCGGUUAGAUAAGUCUGAAGUUAAAGGCUGUGGCUUAACCAUAGUACGCUUUGGAAACUGUUUAACUUGAGUGCAAGAGGGGAGAGUGGAAUUCCAUGUGUAGCGGUGAAAUGCGUAGGUAUAUGGAGGAACACCGGUGGCGAAAGCGGCUCUCUGGCUUGUAACUGACGCUGAGGCUCGAAAGCGUGGGGAGCAAACAGGAUUAGAUACCCUGGUAGUCCACGCCGUAAACGAUGAGUGCUAGGUGUUAGACCCUUUCCGGGGUUUAGUGCCGUAGCUAACGCAUUAAGCACUCCGCCUGGGGAGUACGACCGCAAGGUUG
RNAcentral lists this ribosomal RNA (550 nucleotides) under uncultured bacterium. RNAcentral describes it as "bacterial SSU rRNA". It matches the Rfam family "Bacterial small subunit ribosomal RNA", at positions 355 to 896 of the family's 1533-position model. The record is from RNAcentral.